UGCAUUGAUGGUGUUCCUGGCUGGUUGGAGGACAGAGCUACAGAACUGCAGACAGAGCAGUUGCUGAUAGGGCCAGGUGGAGCUCUUGGCUGGCUGCAGGGACUGAAUACAAGACUUUAGUCCUACGGUAAAGCCCACAGACUGUGUUUGAGACUUGGCCGGAAAAACCACUGACAGGAGUCACCACACCUGGCCAGGGGGUGCUCACAGCCUUCAAGUGAGAAGACUAAAAACAUCGUCAAGCGGUGGGUCCAUUGUAAGGAAUGAGCUGGAUCCUGAACAAUGGGACUCUUGUGACUCUGGCUGCUCUGUUACUGAGAACCUUCUUGUCAGCCCCCACUGAAGAUGCCAAAUCUCUCCCCAAGGAGCUAUCCAAGUUGGGAAACCAUUUACUCAAUCUUGAGUGCCUGCAACCUGCAUCAGAAUUUAGCUCCAAGUCCUGCAAAGAUCGUCCUACUUUGCUCAAAAGAUCAGUCUCUGCAUGUCAGCUCUUGGAUGCCGCUCAGAACAACCAUGUGAACCGAAAGAUUCUUCUUUUGAACAGGAUGCAUUGUGGUCCCGGGCAGUUUAAUUUGCAUCUUUACUGUUGGGACUUCUUGAGCUUCCUGUCCUUCCUCGUUGGAGCUCAAGAACAGGCAGUGAGCCAUCUGCUCUUUGCCACCUUGAUGGUGGGUGGAUGUGCUUGAAGCUGCUGCUGUGAUAGUGGCUACAUCACUUACCCAACAUCUACCUGAGAAACAGAAACUGACUUGCGUGAGGCUACACAGCAGGUCAAUAGGAGAACCAGUAUCCGAACCGAGGAACUUGUGGCAUAGGGACAGAAGCCCCGUCUUCUAGACCUCACUGUAACAACUUAGCAACUCAUUUUUC
Long non-coding RNA from Mauremys mutica (yellowpond turtle), 870 nucleotides. RefSeq lists it as uncharacterized. NCBI's taxonomy places the organism in Eukaryota, Metazoa, Chordata, Testudines, Geoemydidae. The record is from RefSeq and is a predicted model, not a curated record. The transcript is spliced from 4 exons.